RNAcentral lists this transfer RNA (77 nucleotides) under Candidatus Lokiarchaeum ossiferum. Its description in RNAcentral is "tRNA-Arg". It matches the Rfam family "tRNA". From Rfam's summary of the family: Transfer RNA (tRNA) molecules are approximately 80 nucleotides in length. Their secondary structure includes four short double-helical elements and three loops (D, anti-codon, and T loops). The record is from RNAcentral. Lineage: Archaea; Promethearchaeati; Promethearchaeota; Promethearchaeia; Promethearchaeales; Promethearchaeaceae.
GGACCCGUGGCCUAGCUGGAUAGGGCGGUACCCUCCUAAGGUACAAGCCGAGCGUUCGAAUCGCUCCGGGUCCGCCA